GCUAGAGAUUAUACCAAACCACUUUGGAUACACCUGAUCUUAUCCCAUUUUGGAAGGUAAGGUGGCUCAGGCCUGGUUGGUACUUGGAUAGGAAACCAUCAGAAAAUACAAAAUUGCUCUGAAG
RNAcentral lists this ribosomal RNA (124 nucleotides) under Pogona vitticeps (central bearded dragon). Lineage: Eukaryota; Metazoa; Chordata; Lepidosauria; Squamata; Agamidae. The record is from RNAcentral.